This 375-nucleotide ribosomal RNA is filed under the name Grania capensis. RNAcentral's name for it is "partial 12S ribosomal RNA". The record is from RNAcentral. Lineage: Eukaryota; Metazoa; Annelida; Clitellata; Enchytraeida; Enchytraeidae.
UAAAGACCUAUAAAUACACCGGUUAAUACAAUCUACUGAUUAAAAUCCAAAGAAUUUGGCGGUAUCUUAAAUAAUCAGGGGAACCUGUACCUUAAUUUGAUAAUCCACGUAUAUUAAACUACAUUUUGAAUUUCAGCCUGUGUACUGCUGUCGCCAGUAAACCUCUGAAAGUCAGUUUACGCCAAUACAUAAUAUGGACGUCAAGUCAAAGUGCAGCCAAUAAUGUAGGGGACUAUGGGUUACAAUUUUCAUAAAAAUACGGACUAUUAUAAUAAAAAUAAUAUAAAGGUGGACUUGACAGUAAUAUUUAUAGGACACUAAUAUAAACAAGAGUCUAAGAUAUGCACACAUCGCCCGUCACUCUCGUUUAAAUUG